This 426-nucleotide ribosomal RNA is filed under the name Morganella morganii. RNAcentral's name for it is "bacterial SSU rRNA". It matches the Rfam family "Bacterial small subunit ribosomal RNA", at positions 331 to 749 of the family's 1533-position model. The record is from RNAcentral. Lineage: Bacteria; Pseudomonadati; Pseudomonadota; Gammaproteobacteria; Enterobacterales; Morganellaceae.
UAAGACUCCUACGGGAGGCAGCAGUGGGGAAUAUUGCACAAUGGGCGCAAGCCUGAUGCAGCCAUGCCGCGUGUAUGAAGAAGGCCUUCGGGUUGUAAAGUACUUUCAGUCGGGAGGAAGGUGUCAAGGUUAAUAACCUUGGCAAUUGACGUUACCGACAGAAGAAGCACCGGCUAACUCCGUGCCAGCAGCCGCGGUAAUACGGAGGGUGCAAGCGUUAAUCGGAAUUACUGGGCGUAAAGCGCACGCAGGCGGUUGAUUGAGUCAGAUGUGAAAUCCCCGGGCUUAACCCGGGAAUUGCAUCUGAUACUGGUCAGCUAGAGUCUUGUAGAGGGGGGUAGAAUUCCAUGUGUAGCGGUGAAAUGCGUAGAGAUGUGGAGGAAUACCGGUGGCGAAGGCGGCCCCCUGGACAAAGACUGACGCUCA